UGGAUCUACUGGUUUCUCGGAAAACCUCCAGGGCAGAUGUCCCAGCACUGAGGCCAGAUGUUCACAGCUGGGCAGCUCCGGCCGCCCUCAGUCCCUCCCUGUGUUUUCUGCUGGGACUUCAGGCCCCAGGGAAAGGGGCCGAGUUCAGGAUUUUCAAAGUCCUGUCAAUCAGCCCUCAGUCAGUCCCGAGGCAGGAAAGGGCGCCCCAGCCUCCUGCUGGUCUCAUUGCCCCUCAGGUCACCGGGGAGUUAGGUAUGUGUGAGAAAACUCCCUGUGGGGCGGCCCCCCAACCAGCCGCACCCAGGGGACCCUCCGCCCCCAUCCUUCCUCCCCCAGAGGGUGAAUCUGAGAUCCAGUAGGGUAAGCGGAGAAAGUGGGAACAAAGGGAAGGAAAGUCAUUUCCUGUCAAGAGGAAGGAGGCAGCGAUCCAGCCAGGAACUCACCCAGCCCAGCUUUAGGCUGCUGCCAGAGCAGGGGACUGGCUGGCUGAGCAGGGACUCCCAGGAGUGUCCCCCAACACUGUCCCCUUCCUACUCUUUCUAACACCCCCAACUCUGGAACCACCUGUAAACUUUGUUCUUUACUACUUCGGUAAAGCCCUCUCCAUGCUUUGCUGGAGGUGGGAGUGAGACACGGCCGCCCCCAGCCCGGAGCCCCAGCAGCCGUGAAUAAGGGAUCCCUCUCCCUUUCUCCCACCCCAGGGAAGCAGAGGAGGCACACGGAGCUGAGUUCGCACGGGCGACCUCCUCCCUGCUGGGUGGCCUGGGGUAGGUCACUGAAUCUCUCUGGGCCUCAAGUGUUUUCACAGAGUGGGACUAAUGAGGGACUAAUGUCCUGAAGGCCGGCUGGCUGAGAGGACAAAAGGAGAGAAGGUGCUCAGGACCUCGGUUUGUGGUCACCCGGGUUGGUGGCCCCACCUGCCCUGGGGAGGUGGGGUACUCACACCUGAGUCUGGGCUGGGAUCUCCCAGGGUCCUAAGAGUCUGGUGGACUUGCGCUCCCCAGAAAUUCACUCACCAAGUGACCCUGCCACUCUGCAGCAGUGACAGCAGCUGCAGCCGCUGCCCCCACAGAGGCUUCCUUGUGCGGAGGCCUGGCCUGCAGGCCCUCCGUUUGCCCCCCAGGAGAGCCCUGUGCUGCAGAGCUGAUCAUUCCUGCUCCACAGACGAACAAACAGGAGCGGAGGGGCCCGAGGCCACAGAAGGAGCAAGUGCAAGAGCUGGAUUCACUGCUCUUCUGAUCCCAGAGGCCUGGGACUGUCACUCUUCCCAGAUGCAAAAGCUGAGUCUCAGAGAGGUGCCGCGUUCGACGUGGCUGGGGGAGACUCAAACCCCUGGUCAGGCUCAUUCCUGGCUUGGAAACAGUGUCUCCCCCUUCACAGCAGUGCUUGCAGCCAGAUUUCCCUCCACCGCACCUCCCCCAGGAGGAAGGAGGGAACCACUGACCGCCAGAGCAGGAAGAUGCCAUUCAGGGGUUUUCGGAUGCUUUCCGCUGUCGAACCCCCCAGUGCUUUGUGAUCCAGAAGCUAACUUAAAACAGACAGA
This is a long non-coding RNA of Manis pentadactyla (Chinese pangolin), 1543 nucleotides long. RefSeq lists it as uncharacterized. The transcript has 3 exons. The record is from RefSeq and is a predicted model, not a curated record. Lineage: Eukaryota; Metazoa; Chordata; Mammalia; Pholidota; Manidae.